CAGAGGGGGCAAGCGUUGUUCGGAAUUACUGGGCGUAAAGGGCGCGUAGGCGGCCUGUUAAGUCGAACGUGAAAUCCCCAGGCUCAACCUGGGAACUGCGUCCGAUACUGGCAGGCUUGAAUCCGGGAGAGGGAUGCGGAAUUCCAGGUGUAGCGGUGAAAUGCGUAGACAUCUGGAGGAACACCGGUGGCGAAGGCGGCAUCCUGGACCGGUAUUGACGCUGAGGCGCGAAAGCCAGGGGAGCAAACGGGAUUAGAUACCCCGGUAGUCCUGGCCCUAAACGAUGAAUGCUUGGUGUGGCGGGUAUCGAUCCCUGCCGUGCCGAAGCUAACGCAUUAAGCAUUCCGCCUGGGGAGUACGGUCGCAAGGCUG
RNAcentral lists this ribosomal RNA (372 nucleotides) under uncultured organism. RNAcentral's name for it is "bacterial SSU rRNA". It matches the Rfam family "Bacterial small subunit ribosomal RNA", at positions 526 to 896 of the family's 1533-position model. The record is from RNAcentral.